GGGAGGGAAACGAUACGUAUAGCAAAUUUUGGAACCAGAGCAGUUGUACGAUAUAGGCCAAGGCAAAGGAGGUAAAACAAGGGCGAAAGGGGGUAAAACAAGGUUGCCUGCAAAUGAGGCUACGUUCCGCUAUCACAGUUCUUUCGUAAAUUAUUUUGGGGGCAUACCCUACACCUAGCGUCUGUCCCUGCAGUUUCUUUCCUUCUUUUUUUCUUUCUUCCCUUUCCUUCUUUUCUCUCUUUCCCCCUUUUCUUCCUUCCCUUUUUUCUUUCUGCCAGCAUAAAAAAUUUUCUGGGACACCUGCUCACAUUCUUCUCGCAUGAACUCCUUGUUUAUUUAAAAAAAUUAAACUUAUACUUAU
Non-coding RNA from Paramuricea clavata, 361 nucleotides. The record is from the annotation of a GenBank genome assembly. NCBI's taxonomy places the organism in Eukaryota, Metazoa, Cnidaria, Anthozoa, Malacalcyonacea, Plexauridae.